GACGAACGCUGGCGGCGUGUUUAACACAUGCAAGUCGAGCGGUAAGGCCCUUUCGGGGGUACACGAGCGGCGAACGGGUGAGUAACACGUGGGUGACCUGCCCUCAGCUCUGGGAUAAGCCUGGGAAACUGGGUCUAAUACCGGAUAUGACUCCAUGACGCAUGUUGUGGGGUGGAAAGCCUUGUGCGGCUGAGGAUGGGCCCGCGGCCUAUCAGCUUGUUGGUGGGGUGAUGGCCUACCAAGGCGACGACGGGUAGCCGGCCUGAGAGGGCGACCGGCCACACUGGGACUGAGACACGGCCCAGACUCCUACGGGAGGCAGCAGUGGGGAAUCUUGCGCAAUGGGCGAAAGCCUGACGCAGCGACGCCGCGUGAGGGAUGACGGCCU
This 388-nucleotide ribosomal RNA is filed under the name uncultured bacterium. RNAcentral describes it as "bacterial SSU rRNA". It matches the Rfam family "Bacterial small subunit ribosomal RNA", at positions 28 to 417 of the family's 1533-position model. The record is from RNAcentral.